This is a long non-coding RNA of Ostrea edulis (European flat oyster), 689 nucleotides long. RefSeq lists it as uncharacterized. The record is from RefSeq and is a predicted model, not a curated record. The transcript has 5 exons. Lineage: Eukaryota; Metazoa; Mollusca; Bivalvia; Ostreida; Ostreidae.
CUUUUCUGUCGUAAAUUUGUGGACGUCUUGAACCAAAAUGGAUUCAUACAAGAAUUCUGUGCGAUUAAUAGGCCAGUAAACUAAGGUCGUCUGUUCAGAGACCAGAAAAAGACGAUAUUUAUCUGCGAUCUAAUAUUAGUGAAGAGAACGUUCUAUUUCAAUCUCAGGAGUUGUGAGAUUGACUUGGCGACGGAACAGUGACUUCCUACAAAUAUUGUGGUUUUAUGCAGUUACCAGGGAUCGAAUUUGGCUCGUCCAUGUUUGGGAAGCGUCCGCCCCACCCACUAGAAUGAACGACGCUCUAAGUACUGAUGAUAUAGGAAAUAUUGUACUUUUUGGGGACUUUGAGUGAUUCAUCACCCUUUGCACAAAUGCAUUUUGAGAUUCUCAAAGGAAUCCUAGAUUUGUCAAGAAGCCAUGUGUAUUAAUUGCUUCCCAUCAAAUAGUACAGUGUCUUUGUGUAAAUUAUAUUCAUUUUGAGGAAAUAGCUGGUGUGCAGUGUACAUUCCUAAAUGAAUUCAUCAGUUUACAUUAAGGAUCUACCUUCAAAUCCUGUAAUCUGGGAUGCUCUAAAGUGCAUGUCACAGACUAAAGUUAUAAAAAUAACUUCCAAGAAUUUUUAAGAAAUUGUUAUAACUUUAAAAUGUAUGAAUAUAUACUGAUAUUGAAUUAAAUUUUAUAAAAUGUCA